GCCCAGGUGGUGAAAUUGGUAGACACGCUACUUUGAGGGGGUAGUGCCGGUUACGGUGUGUGGGUUCAAAUCCCGUCCUGGGCA
RNAcentral lists this transfer RNA (84 nucleotides) under Dysgonamonadaceae bacterium. RNAcentral's name for it is "tRNA-Leu". It matches the Rfam family "tRNA". Rfam says of the family: Transfer RNA (tRNA) molecules are approximately 80 nucleotides in length. Lineage: Bacteria; Pseudomonadati; Bacteroidota; Bacteroidia; Bacteroidales; Dysgonomonadaceae. The record is from RNAcentral.